Molecule: ribosomal RNA, 527 nt
Filed under: uncultured bacterium
Lineage: Bacteria
Description: bacterial SSU rRNA
Rfam family: Bacterial small subunit ribosomal RNA
Source: RNAcentral
GAGUUUGAUCCUGGCUCAGGAUGAACGCUGGCGGCGUGCCUAAUACAUGCAAGUCGAGCGAACAGAUAAGGAGCUUGCUCCUUUGAAGUUAGCGGCGGACGGGUGAGUAACACGUGGGUAACCUACCUAUAAGACUGGGAUAACUUCGGGAAACCGGAGCUAAUACCGGAUAACAUUUAGAACCGCAUGGUUCUAAAGUGAAAGAUGGUUUUGCUAUCACUUAUAGAUGGACCCGCGCCGUAUUAGCUAGUUGGUAAGGUAACGGCUUACCAAGGCGACGAUACGUAGCCGACCUGAGAGGGUGAUCGGCCACACUGGAACUGAGACACGGUCCAGACUCCUACGGGAGGCAGCAGUAGGGAAUCUUCCGCAAUGGGCGAAAGCCUGACGGAGCAACGCCGCGUGAGUGAUGAAGGGUUUCGGCUCGUAAAACUCUGUUAUUAGGGAAGAACAAAUGUGUAAGUAACUGUGCACAUCUUGACGGUACCUAAUCAGAAAGCCACGGCUAACUACGUGCCAGCAGCCGC